Microplitis demolitor is the source of this 632-nucleotide long non-coding RNA. RefSeq lists it as uncharacterized. The transcript has 3 exons. Lineage: Eukaryota; Metazoa; Arthropoda; Insecta; Hymenoptera; Braconidae. The record is from RefSeq and is a predicted model, not a curated record.
GCGUGAAGAGAUGCGUUGUUGUCAACUAGUUUUUUAUUAAUUAUUUAAAUGUUACAUUUUUAUAUCUCAUUGCCUCACACCAUCUGAAUAUAAGUCGUAGAAGUUGAUGAUGCUGUCCAUUAUCCUGUCGAGUUCUUACAUACACUCAAUCCACCCGGAAUACCAUCUCAUAUUCUCAAUCUUAAAAUUGGAGCACCAAUAAUGUUACUGCGCAAUUUGAAUCCUCCAAAACUAUGUAAAGGUAAACAUGAAGGAGAAGUCGUAUUUAUUCCAAGAAUUCCUUUGGUUCCAUCUGACUACCAUUUCAACUUCAAACGUCUACAAUUUCCUGUUAGGGUUUGCUAUGCUAUGACUAUCAAUAAAGCGCAGGGGCAGAGUUUAAAAUUAGCUGGUGUAGAUUUGAGACAUGAUUGUUUUUCUCAUGGUCAGUUUUACGUGGCAUGCUCAAGAGUCAGUUCACCGGACAACUUGAUUAUUCUUCAACCAGAAAAAAAGACGAAAAACAUUGUUUACAAGGAAGUUUUAAGUUUGUAACUGUAUAAAACUGUUAAUUUUAUUCAUUGAUAAGUAUUAAGUGAUUGUUAUAUUUUUGUUCAUUAUGAGAAAUAAAUUUUUGUAAAAAGUUAAAACUU